AAAAUGCGAUAACUAGUGUGAAUUGCAGAAUCUAAAAACGUGAAUCAUCGAGUCUCUGAACGCAAAUUGCGCUCCAUGGUUAUUCCGUGGAGCAUACCUGUUUGAGUCUCACAAUUAUCUUAUCCAAAAUGCGCUUUUAACUGUUUCAGUUUAGCCGUAAAAUGCAUAACCACAUCGGAGACGGAGGGAAGGGCAUUGGGGCAUAUUUUGCCUCUGGGGUUCUUUAUCUCCCGAAGGAUCGGAAGCGUGCUCAUACUACGCUCUCCGGGCCGGAACAAGUCUCUCCAUUCAUUAAUUGAGCUCAAAUCAGGCAGGACUACCCGCUGAACUUAA
Molecule: unclassified non-coding RNA, 333 nt
Filed under: uncultured Pezizomycotina
Lineage: Eukaryota; Fungi; Ascomycota
Description: sequence contains ITS1
Rfam family: 5.8S ribosomal RNA (bases 1-111)
Source: RNAcentral